Molecule: ribosomal RNA, 503 nt
Filed under: Bactrocera moluccensis
Lineage: Eukaryota; Metazoa; Arthropoda; Insecta; Diptera; Tephritidae
Description: partial large subunit ribosomal RNA
Rfam family: Bacterial large subunit ribosomal RNA
Source: RNAcentral
CCUGUUUAACAAAAACAUGUCUUUUUGAGUUAUAUUUAAAGUCUGACCUGCCCACUGAAAUUGUUUAAAUGGCCGCAGUAUUUUAACUGUGCAAAGGUAGCAUAAUCAUUAGUCUUUUAAUUGAAGGCUGGUAUGAAUGGUUGGACGAAGUAUAAGCUGUUUCAUAUAAAUUUAUAGUAGAAUUUUAUAUUUUAGUUAAAAAGCUAAAAUUUAGUUAAAAGACGAGAAGACCCUAUAAAUCUUUAUAUUUUAUGUUGUUUUAAUUUUUUAGAUUUAUUUUAUUUUUAUAGUUUAGAAUAUUUUGUUGGGGUGAUAUUAAAAUUUAAUGAACUUUUAAUUAUUUAGAAUCAUUAAUUUAUGUUUUAUUGAUCCGUUAAUAGUGAUUAUAAGAUCAAGUUACUUUAGGGAUAACAGCGUAAUUUUUUUGGAGAGUUCAUAUCGAUAAAAAGGGUUGCGACCUCGAUGUUGGAUUAAGAAAUAUUUUUAGGUGUAGUGGCUUAAAU